CUACAAUAAAGUUAUUGAUGGAAUUAAACUCCCUAAUUAAGGCUUCAGGAUCUUCCCCAGGAACUAGUCACAGUGAUGUCACAUCAAAGUUUGACUGUGUGUACUGGUAUGGAGAUUUGAAUUUCCGACUAGAGAGAAAGAAAUUGGCUGUUGAAGGCAUGGUAUCACACAUAGAGAAACAAGAAUUUCCGACUAGAGAGAAAGAAAUUGGCUGUUGAAGGCAUGGUAUCACACAUAGAGAAACAAGAAUUUCCGACUAGAGAGAAAGAAAGUGGCUGUUAAUGGCAUGGUAUCACACAUAGAGGCACAAGAAUUUCCGACUAGAGAGAAAGAAAUUGGCUGUUGAAGGCAUGGUAUCACACAUAGAGAAACAAGAACUUCCGACUAGAGAGAAAGAAAGUGGCUGUUGAUGGCAUGGUAUCACACACACAGGCACAAGAAUUUCCGACUACAGAGAAAGAAAGUGGCUGUUGAUGGCAUGGUAUCACACACACAGGCACAAGAAUUUCCGACUACAGAGAAAGAAAGUGGCUGUUGAUGGCAUGGUAUCACACACAGAGGCACAAAAAUUUCCGACUACAGAGAAAGAAAGUGGCUGUUGAUGGCAUGGUAUCACACACAGAGGCACAAGAAUUUCCGACUACAGAGAAAGAAAGUGGCUGUUGAUGGCAUGGUAUCACACACAGAGGCACAAGAAUUUCCGACUACAGAGAAAGAAAGUGGCUGUUGAUGGCAUGGUAUCACACAUAGAGGCACAAGAAUUUCCGACUAGAGAGAAAGAAAGUGGCUGUUGAUGGCAUGGUAUCAUACAUAGAGGCACAAGAAUUUCCGACUACAGAGAAAGAAAUUGGCUGUUGAAGGCAUGGUAUCAUACAUAGAGGCACAAGAAUUUCCGACUAGAGAGAAAGAAAUUGGCUGUUGAAGGCAUGGUAUCAUACAUAGAGGCACAAGAAUUUCCGACUACAGAGAAAGAAAUUGGCUGUUGAUGGCAUGGUAUCAUACAUAGAGGCACAAGAAUUUCCGACUAGAGAGAAAGAAAGUGGCUGUUGAUGGCAUGGUAUCAUACACAGAGGCACAAGAAUUUCCGACUAGAGAGAAAGAAAGUGGCUGUUGAUGGCAUGGUAUCACACAUAGAGGCACAAGAAUUUCCGACUAGAGAGAAAGAAAGUGGCUGUUGAAGGCAUGGUAUCAUACAUAGAGGCACAAGAAUUUCCGACUAGAGAGAAAGAAAGUGGCUGUUGAUGGCAUGGUAUCAUACAUAGAGGCACAAGAAUUUCCGACUAGAGAGAAAGAAAGUGGCUGUUGAUGGCAUGGUAUCACACAUAGAGGCACAAGAAUUUCCGACUACAGAGAAAGAAAUUGGCUGUUGAAGGCAUGGUAUCAUACAUAGAGGCACAAGAAUUUCCGACUAGAGAGAAAGAAAGUGGCUGUUGAAGGCAUGGUAUCAUACAUAGAGGCACAAGAAUUUCCGACUACAGAGAAAGAAAUUGGCUGUUGAUGGCAUGGUAUCACACAUAGAGGCACAAGAAUUUCCGACUAGAGAGAAAGAAAGUGGCUGUUGAUGGCAUGGUAUCAUACAUAGA
This 1583-nucleotide long non-coding RNA is filed under the name Gigantopelta aegis. RNAcentral's name for it is "uncharacterized LOC121386381". The record is from RNAcentral. Lineage: Eukaryota; Metazoa; Mollusca; Gastropoda; Neomphalida; Peltospiridae.